RNAcentral lists this ribosomal RNA (437 nucleotides) under Kassina senegalensis (Senegal running frog). RNAcentral's name for it is "partial 16S ribosomal RNA". It matches the Rfam family "Bacterial large subunit ribosomal RNA", at positions 2017 to 2620 of the family's 2925-position model. The record is from RNAcentral. Lineage: Eukaryota; Metazoa; Chordata; Amphibia; Anura; Hyperoliidae.
CGUCUCCCCUCUUCAAUCANUGAAACUGAUCUUCUCGUGAAGAAGCGAGAAUAUAAAUAUAAGACGAGAAGACCCUAUGGAGCUUUAAACCCAUUAUCACCUGCCCGUAUUAUACCAGAAUAAUUGGCAGCCUGUUCUUAAAUGGUUUUUGGCUGGGGUGGCCCUGGAGUAAAGUAAACCCUCCAGACUGAAUGGUUUAAAACCCUAAUCUAAGAAUUACUAUUCAAAGAAUCAAUACUUUGACAUAAUUGACCCAAUAAAUUGAUCAACGAACCAAGUUACCCUAGGGAUAACAGCGCAAUCCAUUUCAAGAGCCCCUAUCGACAAAUGGGUUUACGACCUCGAUGUUGGAUCGGGGUAUCCUAGCGGCGCAGCCGCUGCUAAAGGUUCGUUUGUUCAACGAUUAAUAACCCCACGUGAUCUGAGUUCAAACCNGA